CUGGCGGCAGGCCUAACACAUGCAAGUCGAGCGGCAGCGGAAAGUAGCUUGCUACUUUGCCGGCGAGCGGCGGACGGGUGAGUAAUGUCUGGGAAACUGCCUGAUGGAGGGGGAUAACUACUGGAAACGGUAGCUAAUACCGCAUGACCUCGCAAGAGCAAAGUGGGGGACCUUCGGGCCUCACGCCAUCGGAUGUGCCCAGAUGGGAUUAGCUAGUAGGUGGGGUAAUGGCUCACCUAGGCGACGAUCCCUAGCUGGUCUGAGAGGAUGACCAGCCACACUGGAACUGAGACACGGUCCAGACUCCUACGGGAGGCAGCAGUGGGGAAUAUUGCACAAUGGGCGCAAGCCUGAUGCAGCCAUGCCGCGUGUGUGAAGAAGGCCUUCGGGUUGUAAAGCACUUUCAGCGAGGAGGAAGGCAGUCGUGUUAAUAGCACGAUUGAUUGACGUUACUCGCAGAAGA
Molecule: ribosomal RNA, 463 nt
Filed under: Yersinia mollaretii
Lineage: Bacteria; Pseudomonadati; Pseudomonadota; Gammaproteobacteria; Enterobacterales; Yersiniaceae
Description: bacterial SSU rRNA
Rfam family: Bacterial small subunit ribosomal RNA
Source: RNAcentral